CCCUUAGAUGCUCUGGGCCGCACGCGCGCUACACUGGUCGAUGCAACGAGUUUCUUUCCUUGGCCGAUAGGCCUGGGCAAUCUUUGAACAUCGAUCGUGAUCGGGAUAGAUUCUUGUAAUUUUUGAUCUUAAACGAGGAAUUCCUAGUAAACGCAAGUCAUCAGCUUGCAUUGAUUACGUCCCUGCCCUUUGUACACACCGCCCGUCGCACCUACCGAUUGAAUGGUCCGGUGAAAUCUCCGGACUGGCGUGAGUCGGAGCAAUCUGACAAACACCGGAAAGUUGAUUAAACCUUACCAUUUAGAGGAAGGUGAAGUCGUANCA
This 324-nucleotide ribosomal RNA is filed under the name uncultured eukaryote. RNAcentral's name for it is "partial 18S ribosomal RNA". It matches the Rfam family "Eukaryotic small subunit ribosomal RNA", at positions 1470 to 1796 of the family's 1831-position model. The record is from RNAcentral.